Molecule: non-coding RNA, 122 nt
Organism: Aspergillus bertholletiae
Lineage: Eukaryota; Fungi; Ascomycota; Eurotiomycetes; Eurotiales; Aspergillaceae
Source: the annotation of a GenBank genome assembly
GCCCGGGUGGUCUAGUGGUAUGAUUCUCGCUUAGGGUAAUAACCCCAAGUACAAAUCCAUAUGUAAAAAUACAUAUGGAGAAUAUCUGCGAGAGGUCCCGCGUUCGAUCCGCGGCUCGGGCC